UGGUAGUAGGGUGGUGGAUGUCUAGUGUCCCUUAUGGCUCUAAUAUGAUAGUGGUAGUAGGGUGGUGGAUGUCUAGUGUCCCUUAUGGCUCUAAUAUGAUAAUGGUAGGGGGGUGGUGGAUGUCUAGUGUCCCUUAUGGCUCUAAUCUGAUAGUAGUAGUGGGGGGUGGCAGAUUCCUAGUGUCCCUUAUGGCUCUAAUCUGAUAUGGUAUGUAGGGUGGUGGAUGUCUAGUGUCCCUUAUGGCUCUAAUAUGAUAAUGGUAGUGGGGUGGUAGAUUCCUAGUGUCCCUUGUGGCUCUAAUAUGAUAAUGGCAGUAGGGUGGUGGAUGUCUAG
This is a long non-coding RNA of Oncorhynchus tshawytscha (Chinook salmon), 333 nucleotides long. The record is from Ensembl. Lineage: Eukaryota; Metazoa; Chordata; Actinopteri; Salmoniformes; Salmonidae.